This 503-nucleotide ribosomal RNA is filed under the name uncultured eukaryote. Its description in RNAcentral is "bacterial SSU rRNA". It matches the Rfam family "Eukaryotic small subunit ribosomal RNA", at positions 21 to 549 of the family's 1831-position model. The record is from RNAcentral.
UAGUCAUAUGCUUGUCCUAAAGAUUAAGCCAUGCAUGUCCAAGUAUAAACCUUUAUACGGUGAAACUGCGAAUGGCUCAUUAUAUCAGUUAUAAUUUACAUGAUGAUGACUUGCUACAUGGAUAACCGUGGUAAUUCUAGAGCUAAUACAUGCAAAGGGCCCGCGAGGGUGGCAUUUAUUAGAUGGAACCAGCGAAAGAUGGUGAAUCAUGAUAACUGAGCGGAUCGCAUGGCCUCGAGCUGGCGACGCUUCAUUCAAAUUUCUGCCCUAUCAACUUUGGAUGGUAGGAUAGAGGCCUACCAUGGUGGUGACGGGUGACGGGGAAUUGGGGUUCGAUUCCGGAGAGGGAGCCUGAGAGAUGGCUACCACUUCCAAGGAAGGCAGCAGGCGCGCAAAUUACCCAAUCCCGACACGGGGAGGUAGUGACAGUAAAUAACGAUGCGGGGCCGUAUGGUCUUGCAAUUGGAAUGAGAGGAAUGUAAAUGCGUUAGCGAGUAACGAUU